Harpia harpyja (harpy eagle) is the source of this 675-nucleotide long non-coding RNA. RefSeq lists it as uncharacterized. The transcript is spliced from 3 exons. Lineage: Eukaryota; Metazoa; Chordata; Aves; Accipitriformes; Accipitridae. The record is from RefSeq and is a predicted model, not a curated record.
GAGUAAGUGCUGCAAGGUCACGUUUGCAAGAGGAGUGUAGGCUGGAGGGCUGGCCAAAGCCUGCACGUGGACUUGGAGGAAAGGCAAGGGAAGGAGAAAGGCAGGCUCGCGGCAAUGCAAGCACAAUGCCGCUUUCCUCCAGCCCUCUGAAAUAGCCCUUUGGCUAACCAAGGAGCCUCCCCAUCUGUGGAAGCUGGUGACUUCAAUCUUUUCCUGGCGAGCUGUCGGCUGGCACAGAGGAGACCUGCAAGUGUUACAGCAGACCCCAGGGAAGUCUGGUGUGUUGACACGACUCACGAAGGAUUGCAUGAAGUCGCCCGUCAUGACUUUGCACUGGGGAGCGGGGAAUGAAAUGGAGCAAAUCUUACCCUCCAGGACAUUGAGGACCAAAGAAACUUAAGGAGCACCUGAGUGCUGUUGACGGUAUGAAGUGCAAGAGGACAUAGGAGCUCUGCUUUUUGUCCCACAGAGGCUUUUUAGCAUGCCAAUCACCAUGAAAUGAUGACAACUUCCAGUUCAGGCUGAUGAGUAGUUAUUUUUCCUGCUGCUGCUGAAGCCACUGGAAAAAUCUGAUUGAUCCAGGAUGCCACGUCAGAGCCUAAUUCCCCUUUCUGCAAACACCCAUAUGCUCAUGUUUAGUGCUUAAUAAAAGGUAAGCUCCAGUCAAUGGGAAAA